RNAcentral lists this ribosomal RNA (20 nucleotides) under Corynespora cassiicola. RNAcentral describes it as "partial 28S ribosomal RNA". Lineage: Eukaryota; Fungi; Ascomycota; Dothideomycetes; Pleosporales; Corynesporascaceae. The record is from RNAcentral.
UUGACCUCGAUCAGGUAGCU